AAUUAUUACAGAAGACAGACAGUUUCAAUGAGAUUCAGUGAAAUAUAUAGCUAAAGUGACGUGAGCACAAAGAUGAGUAAACAAAUCUUCUCUUUUCAGGUAUACACAGAUUUGAAGGUUUAAAAGAAUACACUAAAAACACGACUGAUGUGUGGCAGGGACAUGCAUGUGUUUAUGUGUGUAUGAACAAGAAUCUAAACCCGUUUUCAUAUAGAACUUUAAGUACUAGGAAUCAAAUCUUGCAUAGUGUAGAGAGAGAGAGAGAAAGAAGAGAGAGAUGCAAAAGAAGAUUGUCUCUUAGUUAUUAGAGAAAACUGAGGAUGAGAAGAAGAAUGAAAUAAUAGGAAACUUUCGAAGAUGAUAAGAGAGAUUGGACACUGAUCUUUUUUAUUAAAAAAAUUCCUAAAUCCUGACAACUACGGGAGAUCAAGAGAGAGAGAGAGAGAGAUGCAUGCAGA
Brassica rapa (field mustard) is the source of this 458-nucleotide long non-coding RNA. RefSeq lists it as uncharacterized. Lineage: Eukaryota; Viridiplantae; Streptophyta; Magnoliopsida; Brassicales; Brassicaceae. The record is from RefSeq and is a predicted model, not a curated record.